Trachymyrmex septentrionalis is the source of this 955-nucleotide long non-coding RNA. RefSeq lists it as uncharacterized. The transcript has 3 exons. Lineage: Eukaryota; Metazoa; Arthropoda; Insecta; Hymenoptera; Formicidae. The record is from RefSeq and is a predicted model, not a curated record.
GAUCCACUGCCGCAGUGUACGCCCUGGCAAUUCGCGGAUGAUCGAUGAUUGCCGAGAGUACAAAGGUGAUUUACAGAAGGAGCGAGCGAGUGAACGAAACGGUCGAUAAUCCGAAGUUUCAAGGCUCCCACUUCGAACGUUUGAUAGACUGCGACAAAUGUGCAUGGCAAACUACCUAAAGAUCACUAUAAAGAUCGAACGGCGAUCGAAAUAGAAGUAAUUUUAGCGCCAAGCGUCAAAACAGUGAAUGUUAAAAUAGUAAUUAGAAAGAGAGAGAAAUAGCGCUGACUGAGUCGCGCUACGCGUGUUUGAGAAGAUAAUAAAUACGUCACGUGGUUGGAAAAAUCAGCAAAGAUGAAAAGACGCUUUGUCACGGUCCGAUGUUCUUUUAUGCGAUUUGUAUAAAAAAAGAAAAAAAAAAAGAUCAAACGCAAUGAAUUCGGCUCGACGAUGACUCGAAUUUCGUCUCUUUGCGUGCUGAUGAUCUCAAUAAUCACUUAUCAUGUUGUAAAGAACGCAAAAAAAAUCUUAUUUGUACUUAUACAAUUAUGCAAUACCGUUAGAUAACGAACGCCCGACGACAUGCUCGUUGCAAUGAGUUGACGAUUUGUCGCAGAAUUUGUUAGUUUAUUGAUUGUUAAUGUAUCUGUAAAUUUAUUUAAAUCUGUGAGGCAUCGUGCGAGGCAUUGAUUGAUGAUCGCUGUCGUGGUGUUCUCCAGAUCUCUUAUACGCAGUAUGGAUUAAUCUGACAGGAACUUUUAUCAAGAUAUAAUAACGUGUUCAUUGUGAAAACAAAGUUUUAAUUUAAAUAGCAAAAGUGCAAGUACAUACAUUACGAUACAUACAUUAACAUUUUUCUAAUGGCUGUACUAGAUAAGAUAGUACAUACAUAUCACUCUAACUUAAUCUGUUAAACCAAAUGCAACUUAUAAAAAGCAAAAAUAAUACAAAGUGC